This 82-nucleotide transfer RNA is filed under the name Caldilineaceae bacterium. RNAcentral's name for it is "tRNA-Leu". It matches the Rfam family "tRNA". Rfam says of the family: Transfer RNA (tRNA) molecules are approximately 80 nucleotides in length. Their secondary structure includes four short double-helical elements and three loops (D, anti-codon, and T loops). The record is from RNAcentral. Lineage: Bacteria; Bacillati; Chloroflexota; Caldilineae; Caldilineales; Caldilineaceae.
GCCGAAGUGGCGGAAUAGGCAGACGCGCACGACUCAAAAUCGUGUGGGGAAACCCGUGUGGGUUCGACUCCCACCUUCGGCA